RNAcentral lists this ribosomal RNA (520 nucleotides) under uncultured Verrucomicrobiota bacterium. RNAcentral's name for it is "bacterial SSU rRNA". It matches the Rfam family "Bacterial small subunit ribosomal RNA", at positions 355 to 868 of the family's 1533-position model. Lineage: Bacteria; Pseudomonadati; Verrucomicrobiota. The record is from RNAcentral.
UCGAGAAUUUUUCUCAAUGGGGGAAACCCUGAAGGAGCGACGCCGCGUGGGGGAUGAAUGGCUUCGGCCCGUAAACCCCUGUCAUUUGCGAUCAAACCUUACGACCUAACACGUCGUAAGCUGAUAGUAGCGGAAGAGGAAGGGACGGCUAACUCUGUGCCAGCAGCCGCGGUAAUACAGAGGUCCCAAGCGUUGUUCGGAUUCACUGGGCUAAAGGGUGCGUAGGCGGUCGGGUAAGUCUAACGUGAAAUCUUCAAGCUCAACUUGGAAACUGCGUCGGAUACUAUUCGGCUAGAGGAAUGGAGGGGAGACUGGAAUACUUGGUGUAGCAGUGAAAUGCGUAGAUAUCAAGUGGAACACCAGUGGCGAAGGCGAGUCUCUGGACAUUUCCUGACGCUGAGGCACGAAAGCCAGGGGAGCAAACGGGAUUAGAUACCCCGGUAGUCCUGGCCCUAAACGGUGCACGUUUGCUGUAAGAGGAAUCGACCCCUUUUGUGGCGAAGCUAACGCGUUAAACGUC